CCUACGGGAUGCAGCAGUGCGGAAUAUUGGUCAAUGGCCGGAAGGCUGAACCAGCCAAGCCGCGUGAAGGACGAAGGUGCCAAGCAUUGUAAACUUCUUUUGUCAAGGGACACAAUCAGGCUCGAGAGCCUGACCGAGGGUACUUGAAGAAAAAGCAUCGGCUAACUCCGUGCCAGCAGCCGCGGUAAUACGGAGGAUGCGAGCGUUAUCCGGAUUUAUGGGGUUUAAAGGGUGCGUAGGGGGACUGUUAAGUCAGGGGUAAAAGCCCGGGGCUCAACCCCGGCGAGCCGUUGAUACUGGCUGUCUUGAGAUGUCGAGAGGUAUGCGGAAUGCGCAGUGUAGCGGUGAAAUGCUUAGAUAUUGCGCAGAACUCCGAUUGCGAAGGCAGCAUACCGGCGGCGAUCUGACGCUGAGGCACGAAAGCGUGGGUAUCGAACAGGAUUAGAUACCCGAGUAGUC
RNAcentral lists this ribosomal RNA (459 nucleotides) under uncultured bacterium. Its description in RNAcentral is "partial 16S ribosomal RNA". It matches the Rfam family "Bacterial small subunit ribosomal RNA", at positions 338 to 795 of the family's 1533-position model. The record is from RNAcentral.